This 2897-nucleotide ribosomal RNA is filed under the name Xanthomonas bromi. RNAcentral's name for it is "bacterial LSU rRNA". It matches the Rfam family "Bacterial large subunit ribosomal RNA". Lineage: Bacteria; Pseudomonadati; Pseudomonadota; Gammaproteobacteria; Lysobacterales; Lysobacteraceae. The record is from RNAcentral.
GUUAUAUGGUCAAGCGAAUAAGCGCACACGGUGGAUGCCUAGGCGGUCAGAGGCGAUGAAGGACGUGGUAGCCUGCGAAAAGUGUCGGGGAGCUGGCAACAAGCUUUGAUCCGGCAAUAUCCGAAUGGGGAAACCCACUGCUUCGGCAGUAUCUUGCAGUGAAUUCAUAGCUGCUGGAAGCGAACCCGGUGAACUGAAAUAUCUAAGUAACCGGAGGAAAAGAAAUCAACCGAGAUUCCCUAAGUAGUGACGAGCGAACGGGGAGCAGCCCUUAAGCUGGAAUGGCUUUAGAAAAACAAUCUGGAAAGAUUGGCCAUAGAAGGUGAUAGCCCUGUAUUUAAAAGGGCCACUCCAGUGAAGACGAGUAGGGCGGGGCACGUGAAACCCUGUCUGAAUAUGGGGGGACCAUCCUCCAAGGCUAAAUACUCCUGACCGACCGAUAGUGAACCAGUACCGUGAGGGAAAGGCGAAAAGAACCCCGGAGAGGGGAGUGAAAUAGAUCCUGAAACCGUGUGCGUACAAGCAGUAGGAGCUCGCAAGAGUGACUGCGUACCUUUUGUAUAAUGGGUCAGCGACUUACUGUUCGUGGCAAGCUUAACCGUAUAGGGGAGGCGAAGGGAAACCGAGUCUGAUAAGGGCGCAUAGUCGCGGGCAGUAGACCCGAAACCGGGUGAUCUAGUCAUGGCCAGGGUGAAGGUGCCGUAACAGGUACUGGAGGCCCGAACCCACGUCUGUUGCAAAAGACGGGGAUGAGCUGUGAUUAGGAGUGAAAAGCUAAUCGAACCCGGAGAUAGCUGGUUCUCCUCGAAAGCUAUUUAGGUAGCGCCUCGGACGAAUACUACUGGGGGUAGAGCACUGUUAUGGCUAGGGGGUCAUCGCGACUUACCAAACCAUUGCAAACUCCGAAUACCAGUACGUACUAUCCGGGAGACACACGGCGGGUGCUAACGUCCGUCGUGAAAAGGGAAACAACCCAGACCCACAGCUAAGGUCCCAAAUUCACUGCUAAGUGGAAAACGAUGUGGAAAGGCAUAGACAGCCAGGAGGUUGGCUUAGAAGCAGCCACCCUUUAAAGAAAGCGUAAUAGCUCACUGGUCGAGUCGGUCUGCGCGGAAGAUUUAACGGGGCUAAGCAGUGAACCGAAGCUUGGGGUGCAUAAAACUUGUUUUAUGCGCGGUAGAGGAGCGUUCCGUAAGCCUGCGAAGGUGGAUUGAGAAGUCUGCUGGAGGUAUCGGAAGUGCGAAUGCUGACAUGAGUAACGAUAAUGCGGGUGAAAAGCCCGCACGCCGAAAGCCCAAGGUUUCCUUGCGCAACGUUAAUCGACGCAGGGUUAGUCGGUCCCUAAGGCGAGGGCGAAAGCCGUAGUCGAUGGGAAGCAGGUUAAUAUUCCUGCACCUCGCGUGAGUGCGAUGGAGGGACGGAGAAGGUUAGGUGUACCGGGCGUUGGUUGUCCCGGGGAAAGGCGGUAGGUUUGGAUCUUUGGCAAAUCCGGGAUCCUUUAAGACCGAGCACCGAGACGAGCCUUUAUGGCGAAGUCACUGAUACCACGCUUCCAGGAAAAGCUCCUAAGCUUCAGCUCACGAAGACCGUACCGUAAACCGACACAGGUGGGUAGGAUGAGAAUUCUCAGGCGCUUGAGAGAACUCGGGUGAAGGAACUAGGCAACAUGGCACCGUAACUUCGGGAGAAGGUGCACCCUUUUUGGUGGCUCAUGCGAGCUAUAGCUGAAGAGGGUCGCAGAAACCAGGCCGCUGCGACUGUUUAUCAAAAACACAGCACUCUGCAAACACGAAAGUGGACGUAUAGGGUGUGACGCCUGCCCGGUGCUGGAAGGUUAAUUGAUGGGGUCAGCCGCAAGGCGAAGCUCUUGAUCGAAGCCCCAGUAAACGGCGGCCGUAACUAUAACGGUCCUAAGGUAGCGAAAUUCCUUGUCGGGUAAGUUCCGACCUGCACGAAUGGCGUAACGACAGCGGCGCUGUCUCCACCCGAGACUCAGUGAAAUUGAAAUCGCUGUGAAGAUGCAGCGUUCCCGUGGCAAGACGGAAAGACCCCGUGAACCUUUACUAUAGCUUUACACUGAACGUUGAGUUCGUCUGUGUAGGAUAGGUGGGAGGCUAUGAAACUGUGGCGCUAGCUGCAGUGGAGCCAUCCUUGAAAUACCACCCUGUCGUGCUUGACGUUCUAACCUAGAUCCGUUAUCCGGAUCAGGGACCGUGUAUGGUGGGUAGUUUGACUGGGGCGGUCUCCUCCUAAAGAGUAACGGAGGAGCACGAAGGUACGCUCAGCGCGGUCGGACAUCGCGCACUGUGUGCAAAGGCAUAAGCGUGCUUGACUGCAAGAUCGACGGAUCAAGCAGGUACGAAAGUAGGUCUUAGUGAUCCGGUGGUUCUGUAUGGAAGGGCCAUCGCUCAACGGAUAAAAGGUACUCCGGGGAUAACAGGCUGAUACCGCCCAAGAGUUCAUAUCGACGGCGGUGUUUGGCACCUCGAUGUCGGCUCAUCACAUCCUGGGGCUGUAGUCGGUCCCAAGGGUAUGGCUGUUCGCCAUUUAAAGUGGUACGCGAGCUGGGUUCAGAACGUCGUGAGACAGUUCGGUCCCUAUCUGCCAUGGGCGUUGGAAGUUUGAGAGGGGCUGCUCCUAGUACGAGAGGACCGGAGUGGACGAACCUCUGGUGUUCCGGUUGUCACGCCAGUGGCAUUGCCGGGUAGCUAUGUUCGGAAGCGAUAACCGCUGAAAGCAUCUAAGCGGGAAGCGCGCCUCAAGAUGAGACUUCCCGGGGCACAAGCCCCCUAAAGGAACCAUAUAGACUAUGUGGUUGAUAGGUCAGGUGUGUAAGUACAGCAAUGUAUUGAGCUAACUGAUACUAAUGAUCCGUGCGGCUUGACCAUAUAACCUCA